UACAGAGGUGGCAAGCGUUGUUCGGAAUUACUGGGCGUAAAGGGCGCGUAGGCGGUUCGUUAAGUCCUGUGUGAAAUCCCCCGGCUCAACUGGGGAACUGCACAGGAAACUAGCGGGCUUGAGUUCGGGAGAGGGAAGCGGAAUUCCGGGUGUAGCGGUGAAAUGCGUAGGUAUCCGGAGGAACACCGGUGGCGAAGGCGGCUUCCUGGACCGACACUGACGCUGAGGCGCGAAAGCUAGGGGAGCAAACGGG
RNAcentral lists this ribosomal RNA (253 nucleotides) under uncultured bacterium. RNAcentral's name for it is "partial 16S ribosomal RNA". It matches the Rfam family "Bacterial small subunit ribosomal RNA", at positions 524 to 776 of the family's 1533-position model. The record is from RNAcentral.